GACGAACGCUGGCGGCGUGCUUAACACAUGCAAGUUGAACGGAAAGGCCCUGCUUUUGUGGGGUGCUCGAGUGGCGAACGGGUGAGUAACACGUGAGUAACCUGCCCUUGACUUUGGGAUAACUUCAGGAAACUGGGGCUAAUACCGGAUAGGAGCUCCUGCUGCAUGGUGGGGGUUGGAAAGUUUCGGCGGUUGGGGAUGGACUCGCGGCUUAUCAGCUUGUUGGUGGGGUAGUGGCUUACCAAGGCUUUGACGGGUAGCCGGCCUGAGAGGGUGACCGGCCCCAUUGGGACUGAGAUACGGCCCAGACUCCUACGGGAGGCAGCAGUGGGGAAUAUUGCACAAUGGGCGGACGCCUGAUGCAGCAACGCCGCGUGCGGGAUGACGGCCUUCGGGUUGUAAACCGCUUUCGCCUGUGACGAAGCGUGAGUGACGGUAAUGGGUAAAGAAGCACCGGCUAACUACGUG
This 468-nucleotide ribosomal RNA is filed under the name uncultured bacterium. RNAcentral's name for it is "partial 16S ribosomal RNA". It matches the Rfam family "Bacterial small subunit ribosomal RNA", at positions 28 to 507 of the family's 1533-position model. The record is from RNAcentral.